AAUGAACGCUGGCGGCAUGCCUAACACAUGCAAGUCGAACGAAGGCUUCGGCCUUAGUGGCGCACGGGUGCGUAACGCGUGGGAAUCUGCCCUCAGGUUCGGAAUAACAGCGAGAAAUUGCUGCUAAUACCGGAUGAUAUCGCGAGAUCAAAGAUUUAUCGCCUGAGGAUGAGCCCGCGUAGGAUUAGCUAGUUGGUGUGGGAAAGGCGCACCAAGGCGACGAUCCUUAGCUGGUCUGAGAGGAGGAUCAGCCACACUGGGACUGAGACACGGCCCAGACUCCUACGGGAGGCAGCAGUGGGGAAUAUUGGACAAUGGGCGAAAGCCUGAUCCAGCAAUGCCGCGUGAGUGAUGAAGGCCUAGGGUUGUAAAGCGCUUUUACCCGGGAUGAUAAUGACAGUACCGGGAGAAUAAGCUCCGGCUAACUCCGUGCCAGCCGCCGCCGUAA
RNAcentral lists this ribosomal RNA (448 nucleotides) under uncultured bacterium. Its description in RNAcentral is "partial 16S ribosomal RNA". It matches the Rfam family "Bacterial small subunit ribosomal RNA", at positions 29 to 523 of the family's 1533-position model. The record is from RNAcentral.